Molecule: long non-coding RNA, 588 nt
Organism: Heterocephalus glaber (naked mole-rat)
Lineage: Eukaryota; Metazoa; Chordata; Mammalia; Rodentia; Bathyergidae
Source: Ensembl
GCUAAUGGCCGCUCCAGCGGGAAAGUUCCCUACGAUCCUCUUUUGUUGCCAGUUCAGCGAGUCCAGGUGGUUGAGUAUCAGAGUGUUCCAUCUCGUUUCCCUUUGGGGGUCUCGCUGUAUAGCUCAGGCUGUCCUCGACCUCACUGUGCAGGCCAGGCUUGUAUGGAAUUCAGGGCGAUCUUCCUGCCUCAGUCUCCCUAGUGCUGGAAUUAUAGGCCUUCAUUUCCAUAAGCUACUCAUUUACAAGAACUGUACUUCUAACUUCACAUUCGUGCUUGAAUCUGAACAGCCUUUGGAAAGUGCAAGACUUGAACUACCCUUGAAGUCUACAGGUUUCUAUUUCACUCAUUGCUAUAAUUGCGAGUAUUGCAAUGACGGAGGACUUGACGAUGUAGAAAUAGACUUGAGACAUCCUGUAAUUGAAGAGAAGCUACAAGAUGGGACUGUAUGUUUUAUGGUGCCAGAGCUUUGCCUCUGUAAUAGCCAGCAAUACACUGCAUGAGAACCACUUUUUGUGGGAGUCUGUUGGUCUUCCCCUUUUCCUCAGUUCAGUUUUGUUUCCUCUUGUCCCCUUGAGACAUCACUGAG